AUGGAUAGUACGGAAGAUCGACCGUCCUUGGUUGCGCAGGGGAAGGACAAGCAGCCCGUUCCCUACAGUGACGCUCCGUCUCCAGUGCGCGCCGUGCUCAACCGUCCGUGGCCAUCCCCUGUCCUGAUCCCGCCGGAUAGCCCGUCCCGCAAGUACCGCACACCGGUGGCCACUGCCAAGGACAUCGGGGACCCGAUCUCGCCGGAGGAGAUAGCCGCGCUGGAGGACAAGGAGAGCGACGACGCAAAUGCACGGUUCUACAAGGCAAUGGCUCGGACCGAUGUCUUUAUGAGGAAUUACAUCCAUGAACACGGCAGCCUGUACAUGGAUGAGAACGACGGGUGCAUGUUCGACAACUCCGCCCAAGUUGAGGAAAUACGGUAA
This 384-nucleotide ribosomal RNA is filed under the name Triticum aestivum (bread wheat). Its description in RNAcentral is "partial small subunit ribosomal RNA". Lineage: Eukaryota; Viridiplantae; Streptophyta; Magnoliopsida; Poales; Poaceae. The record is from RNAcentral.